AUUGAACGCUGGCGGCAUGCCUAACACAUGCAAGUCGAACGGCAGCGCGGGGGCAACCCUGGCGGCGAGUGGGGGAGGGGGGGGGAAGGCAUGGGAACCGGCCGGGUGUGGGGGAUAACGGAGGGAAAAUUACGCUUAUUACGCAUACGACCCUCGGGUGAAAGUGGGGGGCCUUUGGGCCUCACGCGGUCGGAUGAGCCUAUGCCCGAUUAGCUAGUUGGCGGGGUAAGAGCCCACCAAGGCGACGAUCGGUAGCUGGUCUGAGAGGAUGAUCAGCCACACUGGGACUGAGACACGGCCCAGACUCCUACGGGAGGCAGCAGUGGGGAAUAUUGGACAAUGGGCGCAAGCCUGAUCCAGCAAUGCCGCGUGUGUGAAGAAGGCCUUCGGGUUGUAAAGCACUUUUGUUCGGGAAGAAAUCCGUGUGGUUAAUACCCGUACGGGAUGACGGUACCGAAAGAAUAAGCACCGGCUAACUUCGUG
RNAcentral lists this ribosomal RNA (483 nucleotides) under uncultured bacterium. RNAcentral's name for it is "partial 16S ribosomal RNA". It matches the Rfam family "Bacterial small subunit ribosomal RNA", at positions 29 to 507 of the family's 1533-position model. The record is from RNAcentral.